Acinonyx jubatus (cheetah) is the source of this 1132-nucleotide long non-coding RNA. RefSeq lists it as uncharacterized. NCBI's taxonomy places the organism in Eukaryota, Metazoa, Chordata, Mammalia, Carnivora, Felidae. The record is from RefSeq and is a predicted model, not a curated record. The transcript has 2 exons.
CCCUUUUAAACUACAGAUUUGUGUGAGGCUGUAUUUUCUUUAUAUACUUCAGCCAGAGCAAAUUAUUGGAACAGAUUAAAUGCUGAAGUAGAUAGGAGGUUGCAGCUGACUUCUGUUAAACCAGACAUUAAAGAUAUUUGUAAAAAUGUGAAACAGUGCCACAAUUUUAAGUUUCUUUAAAAGAAAACUUAUGUUUUAAUUAAAGCAUGUGAUUUAUGUGAGUAUGUAAUGUGUCUUUUAUUUUGUUUUUUAUUAAAAAAACUUUUUUAAUGUUUGUUUAUUCUUAGAGAGAGAGAGGGAGCGAGCAUGAGCGGGGAAGGGGAAGAGCAAGAGAGGGACACAGAAUCCGAAGCAGGCUUCAGGCUCUGAGCUGUCAGCACAGAGCCCGACGUGAGAUCGUAACCUGAGUUGAAGUCAGACAUUUAACCAACUGAGCCACUGAGGUGCCCCAUCGGGAAUACCAUGAGAAAAUGACCACGAUUAUAAGGGAACAGUGACCUGAAAAAGUGUAAGGACCUGUGCCGUGGGUUAAACUUUUUUGAUAAAUUGCAGUUUGGACUUCAGGUAUGGUAAAAAGUCGUACAAGAAAAUGGGAGGAGAAAGGCAGGGGAAUUGUAAACAGCACGGCUGGGGAGAAGGCAUAUGUGAUGAUGGUGUAUAUUCUCUGGUUCCUUAGGGCCAUAUUCUCCGGUUUUAAGUCCUGGUUCUUUGGCUAACUAUAUGACCAUGGCUGAGAAAUUAACUGUUCUAGACCUGCCUUAGCAUUUAUAAAAUAGGAAUAACACCUCAUAAGGUUUAAAUGAAAUAUUCUAGGUAAGUAUGUUUUAUAGAAUUUAAAGUCUCUAGAUAGGUUUGUGGUAAAGUGAAUAGUGGCUACUCAAAGAUGUCCACAUUCUAGUUUCUGUUACCAUAAGUAUGGUAAAGAGACUUUGUAAAUGUAAUUAAGUUAAGCAUCUUGAGGCGGGGACAUUAUCCUGGAUUAUCCAGGUAGGUCCUUAGAAGGAGGCGAGAGAUCCGAGUGAGUAGUAGGAGAGUUGAUGAUGGAAGCAAGAGGUGGGAGUGAGUGGUGUGGUGAAGGGGACCUGAGCCAGAGUAGAGGAGGGCCCUAGAAGCUAAAAAAAAAGCAAGGAAA